GACGAACGCUGGCGGCGUGCUUAACACAUGCAAGUCGAACGGAAAGGCCCUGCUUUUGUGGGGUGCUCGAGUGGCGAACGGGUGAGUAACACGUGAGUAACCUGCCCUUGACUUUGGGAUAACUUCAGGAAACUGGGGCUAAUACCGGAUAGGAGCUCCUGCUGCAUGGUGGGGGUUGGAAAUUUUCGGCGGUUGGGGCUGGACGCGCGGCUUAUCAGCUUGUUGGUGGGGUCGUGGCUUACCAAGGCUUUGACGGGUAGCCGGCCUGAGAGGGUGACCGGCCACAUUGGGACUGAGAUACGGCCCAGACUCCUACGGGAGGCAGCAGUGGGGAAUAUUGCACAAUGGGCGGAAGCCUGAUGCAGCAACGCCGCGUGCGGGAUGACGGCCUUCGGGUUGUAAACCGCUUUCGCCUGUGACGAAGCGUGAGUGACGGUAAUGGGUAAAGAAGCACCGGCUAACUACGUG
Molecule: ribosomal RNA, 468 nt
Filed under: uncultured bacterium
Lineage: Bacteria
Description: partial 16S ribosomal RNA
Rfam family: Bacterial small subunit ribosomal RNA
Source: RNAcentral